RNAcentral lists this ribosomal RNA (433 nucleotides) under uncultured bacterium. RNAcentral's name for it is "partial 16S ribosomal RNA". It matches the Rfam family "Bacterial small subunit ribosomal RNA", at positions 29 to 507 of the family's 1533-position model. The record is from RNAcentral.
AACGAACGCUGGCGGCAUGCCUAACACAUGCAAGUCGAACGAGACCUUCGGGUCUAGUGGCGCACGGGUGCGUAACGCGUGGGAACCUGCCCUUAGGUUCGGAAUAACUCCCCGAAAGGGGUGCUAAUACCGGAUAAUGUCUUCGGACCAAAGAUUUAUCGCCUUUGGAUGGGCCCGCGUUGGAUUAGCUAGUUGGUAGGGUAAGAGCCUACCAAGGCGACGAUCCAUAGCUGGUCUGAGAGGAUGAUCAGCCACACUGGGACUGAGACACGGCCCAGAAUCCUACGGGAGGCAGCAGUGGGGAAUAUUGGAAAAUGGGCGAAAGCCUGAUCCAGCAAUGCCGGGUGAGUGAUGAAGGCCUUAGGGUUGUAAAGCGCUUUUACCCGGGAUGAUAAUGACAGUACCGGGAGAAUAAGCUCCGGCUAACUCCGUG